RNAcentral lists this ribosomal RNA (474 nucleotides) under uncultured organism. Its description in RNAcentral is "partial 16S ribosomal RNA". It matches the Rfam family "Bacterial small subunit ribosomal RNA", at positions 335 to 800 of the family's 1533-position model. The record is from RNAcentral.
ACUCCUGCGGGAGGCAGCAGUGGGGAAUUUUGGACAAUGGGCGAAAGCCUGAUCCAGCAAUGCCGCGUGAGUGAAGAAGGCCUUCGGGUUGUAAAGCUCUUUUGUCAGGGAAGAAACGGUGAAAGCUAAUAUCUUUUGCUAAUGACGGUACCUGAAGAAUAAGCACCGGCUAACUACGUGCCAGCAGCCGCGGUAAUACGUAGGGUGCAAGCGUUAAUCGGAAUUACUGGGCGUAAAGCGUGCGCAGGCGGUUUUGUAAGUCUGAUGUGAAAUCCCCGGGCUCAACCUGGGAAUUGCAUUGGAGACUGCAAGGCUAGAAUCUGGCAGAGGGGGGUAGAAUUCCACGUGUAGCAGUGAAAUGCGUAGAUAUGUGGAGGAACACCGAUGGCGAAGGCAGCCGCCUGGGUCAAGAUUGACGCUCAUGCACGAAAGCGUGGGGAGCAAACAGGAUUAGAAACCCUUGUAGUCCCAUGA